RNAcentral lists this ribosomal RNA (497 nucleotides) under uncultured bacterium. RNAcentral's name for it is "partial 16S ribosomal RNA". It matches the Rfam family "Bacterial small subunit ribosomal RNA", at positions 28 to 507 of the family's 1533-position model. The record is from RNAcentral.
GAUGAACGCUGGCGGCGUGCCUAAUACAUGCAAGUCGAGCGAACAGACGAGGAGCUUGCUCCUCUGGCGUUAGCGGCGGACGGGUGAGUAACACGUGGAUAACCUACCUAUAAGACUGGGAUAACUUCGGGAAACCGGAGCUAAUACCGGAUAAUAUAUUGAACCGCAUGGUUCAAUAGUGAAAGACGGUUUUGCUGUCACUUAUAGAUGGAUCCGCGCUGCAUUAGCUAGUUGGUAAGGUAACGGCUUACCAAGGCAACGAUGCGUAGCCGACCUGAGAGGGUGAUCGGCCACACUGGAACUGAGACACGGUCCAGACUCCUACGAGAGGCAGCAGUAGGGAAUCUUCCGCAAUGGGCGAAAGCUUGACGGAGCAACGCCGCGUGAGUGAUGAAGGUCUUCGGAUCGUAAAACUCUGUUAUUAGGGAAGAACAAAUGUGUAAGUAACUAUGCACGUCUUGACGGUACCUAAUCAGAAAGCCACGGCUAACUACGUG